GCUUGACUGUAGCUUGCAAUUGGGUUCGGGCUUUUUUUGCGCAGCCUAGGUGGGAGGCAACGAUGAUUUUUUUCCGGAAAAAUUUGAGCCAUUCGUGAGAGACCACUCUGAAAAGGCUAGAAUCCUAAUAAUGAUCCUUGAAUCAGGACAUUUGACAGUUGCAGGUGGCAGUUUUACUGGGGCGGUAUUCUCCUAAAAAGUAACGGAGGGGUGCAAAGGUUCCCUCAGGCUGGACGGAAAUCAGCUUAAGAGUGUAAAGGCAAAAGGGAGCUUGACUGCAAGACCUACAAGUCGAGCAGGGGCGAAAGCCGGCCUUAGUGAUCCGACGGUACCACGUGGAAGGGCCGUCGCUCAACGGAUAAAAGUUA
This 368-nucleotide ribosomal RNA is filed under the name uncultured alga. Its description in RNAcentral is "partial 23S ribosomal RNA". It matches the Rfam family "Bacterial large subunit ribosomal RNA", at positions 2098 to 2465 of the family's 2925-position model. The record is from RNAcentral.